AGCGAACGCUGGCGGCAGGCCUAACACAUGCAAGUCGAACGAACCUUUCGGGGUUAGUGGCGGACGGGUGAGUAACACGUGGGAACGUGCCUUUAGGUUCGGAAUAACUCAGGGAAACUUGUGCUAAUACCGAAUGUGCCCUUCGGGGGAAAGAUUUAUCGCCUUUAGAGCGGCCCGCGUCUGAUUAGCUAGUUGGUUGAGGUAAUGGCUCACCAAGGCGACGAUCAGUAGCUGGUCUGAGAGGAUGAUCAGCCACAUUGGGACUGAGACACGGCCCAAACUCCUACGGGAGGCAGCAGUGGGGAAUCUUGCGCAAUGGGCGAAAGCCUGACGCAGCCAUGCCGCGUGAAUGAUGAAGGUCUUAGGAUUGUAAAAUUCUUUCACCGGGGACGAUAAUGACGGAACCCGGAGAAGAAGCCCCGGCUAACUUCGU
This 433-nucleotide ribosomal RNA is filed under the name uncultured bacterium. Its description in RNAcentral is "partial 16S ribosomal RNA". It matches the Rfam family "Bacterial small subunit ribosomal RNA", at positions 29 to 506 of the family's 1533-position model. The record is from RNAcentral.